RNAcentral lists this long non-coding RNA (1301 nucleotides) under Homo sapiens (human). RNAcentral describes it as "non-protein coding lnc-SERPINB6-2:4". Lineage: Eukaryota; Metazoa; Chordata; Mammalia; Primates; Hominidae. The record is from RNAcentral.
AGUCCCGCGGGCCUGGUCCCAGGCUGCUUGGGUUGUGCGGGUACCUGGUCCCCCAGGGCGGAGCCGCAGCGCUCCUGGUCUGCGGGACGUGGCCCUGUAGCUGGAACCUGGCGCAACUCAGAGAGCUGUCCUCGCAGAGGCGCUGGUCCCAGACCUGCGGCUCCUACCCCGGCCGGCGCUGGCUGGAGGCUUUAGGUUCAUUCUUGUAAGUGUUGCUGGUGUCAGAAUAGGAACCUCCCUGCGCUUUGAAGGGAUGAAUGUGACCUCUCCCACAUUCUCCGGUGCUGUGAUGUACCUUAAACACAGCAAGGUACUUGGACACAAAGCCUGUGCCUGGAGCCCUUAUGCACUUUCAGACAGACAGUGCAUGGCCCUCGCUACAGACUCAGUGCCAUUGUAGAUGUUUCUGCAUGGAAAAUACAUAAACACAAAUAUCUGCAGUUGCCAAUCCACCACCAUCUUGCAGCCCCAAGAGAGCCCCGGGAAUCCAGGUUCCUUUGGUAUUUCUGCUCCCUGCCCUUGGUGCAUAGCCUCCAUCCCCAGGACGACAAGAGGGCUGACUGAGCCCUAACAUCAUCCCACAGUCCAGCUGGGAAGAGAGCCAGCGACAAAGCCAGAGGGAGCUAGCUCCCACACCUCCCAGCCCCAGCUGAGUUCGCUUCUUGAGGGUAUUUUCUGGAAGCCCCGCCUGUGACUUCUGCUGACACCUCACUGGCCAUCUCAACUGCAAGGCAGCCUAGGAAAUGUAGUGCUUACCUGUACACGUGGAUUCCUGGAAUCAAUUCAGGGACACCUGGCCUGGGUGGAGCCCACUCCUCAGCACCCACCUCACUUCUGGCAGUAUUCUGCAGACCCCAGCCCUGUGCCUGUGCUCCUGCACAGCUGGAGAUAAGGAGUGGGCCCUGGAAGAUGCUCAGUCAGGCCCUGCUCCAGAUUUUAGUUUCGCGGAUAAGCACCACUAUGUGUCUCUGCUCUUUUUGUUUUGCUGUAAAGACACAUUGAUAGGUUAAAAUUGUUGUUUGUGCACAACACGGAUCAUGUAGCGUCUUCACAUUAACCCCUAGUUACACUCUCUAAGUUGUCUAUUUUCUUCCCCCAAUAUUUUUAUUGUUAUAAAAAUACACCGAAUAUAAAAACCUUAACCAGGCCAGCCGCAGUGGUUCACACCUGUAAUCCCAGCACUUUGGGAGGCCAAGACGGGUGGAUCACUUGAGGUCAGGAGUUUGAGACCAGCCUAACCAACAUGGCGAAACCCCGUCUCUACUAAAAAUACAAAAGUUAGCGGCGCAUAGUGGCGCCUG